RNAcentral lists this unclassified non-coding RNA (398 nucleotides) under Rhipicephalus microplus (southern cattle tick). Its description in RNAcentral is "uncharacterized LOC119165554, transcript variant X1". Lineage: Eukaryota; Metazoa; Arthropoda; Arachnida; Ixodida; Ixodidae. The record is from RNAcentral.
AACACGUCCCAGAAAAUGUGGACGUAUAAAAUCAGCAAGCAGGGCACCAUUAGGUGUCAGUACAAUCAGAUGCGUGACAUCACCCCACAAUAUAUAGUUUACAACAGGACAUUCUUGCACAAUGAACAAAGACUUAGGAUCGAGACUUAUUGGUACAGAAACAUUGCUCUACAUGGCUAAAAAUGCAUCGUGUGGUGUUGUGAUGAUCCAUCCAACAGGGAAUGGAGUGACUUAUUACGAACUUCGCGUUAGAAACGCUUACAUUGACACUGUUCCUGAUCGACACUGCGGAAGACACUUUCGUCGUGUAGCUGGAAGUGGCAUAUUUACUUACCGUCCAGACUGUAAGAAUAUGACCAUACCACGCAAGUGAACGCUUCAUAGAUAGGAGGUAGGCG